Equus caballus (horse) is the source of this 1927-nucleotide non-coding RNA. Lineage: Eukaryota; Metazoa; Chordata; Mammalia; Perissodactyla; Equidae. The record is from RefSeq and is a predicted model, not a curated record.
UUCUUGCGACUUUUCUGAAAUUGUGCCAAAAUGAAAAUAUUUUUUAAAAGAGUUCUGUUACUAGAUGAUCUCUAAGACUCUUCAGUUUCUGUGAAAAGGUAGCAUUAUCCUCAUUUUACAGAUGGGGAACAGGAAACAGGACGAGGAUGGCUCCUCUGCAGAAGCGGGAGAGCUCUAGAACUUAGGGUCUCCAACUCAAGUCCUCGCCCUCCACCAGACCCAGCGCUCCUGCCCACGAGGGAGGGGAAGCCCAGACAUCACCCCAGGCACCGGAUGAGAACCACAGAGCAAAAAGCAAGUUGAACAUCAAAGUCCAUUGCUCCAGCCCAUACCCUCCCCCUGGCCUUUAUUGCUCUCUGAAGAGUCAAAAUAAAAGGUAAGAUAAUCUACUCCCCAAGGUGUUGCACCUUCUACUUUGAGUGUCACCCCUGGGCCAAGUCAUUUCUCUGCUGGCUUGAACAAGUUCAGGCUGGGUACAGAGAGCUCCCCCCACCAUGCCAGACCAGGCUAGAUCCAGAGAGGGGAGUCUGUGCCUUCCCAACUGGGAUCAUUGUGGCCCUGCACCCUGAGCUCCUGAGCUCCAGGGGAGAAUAUGGAAAUAGAUUUCCAGUGGGGCACUGGAGACUGUCCCCAAGAGAUGCCCAUCCUGCUUUUCCUGGUAUUAUGGAUCCCUCACUCUUCUUCUACUAUCCUCUCCAUCCUAGGACACUCUUCUGAGCCUGUGGACACCAAUUGGGCCCUAUCUUCCAGGAGUACAAGAAAGAAGCAGAGAGGAAGACUUGAACCCACAGCCUAGGCAAGCUCCACUGGGCCUUGAGCUCUGGGUCACUUUUUUUCCUCUCUCUCUCACUGUCCUUAGCUUCAUUUCCUCUGGUGCUAAUGCAUGAGGCUUUUCUAAAUACUACUAAAAUUUCCUUUUGGCCUUAGGAUAUGCUCUGAUCCUAGACAAUAAAUUCAACCCGAUUUUGCAUAGAUUAAAAAAAAAGUUUUCCACAGGUCCUGGGGGCUAAGCUGAUAAGCUAUUACUAGGUCCUUAUCUAGGGGUUUGGAGGCAAAGCUCCCAAGAGUAAUCAAGCGCUACACAGUCUGGCCUUGCCAUUGUCCCAGGUACAAGGAUUCUCUGCGGGGCCCUUGUAGGGAGGAGGAGGAGUCAGGCUAAAUCAGGACUUGUUAUUCAGACCCUGGGUACGCCAUCAGCAUAUCCCAAAGAACUCUAGAAGACACAAAACAUCAAAACCUGGAGAAUGAGGCCACAGUAGAACUUAGAGAAAGAGUCAUAUUUUUAAAUGUGUUUGUGAUCAAAGAAGAAAAAGAAAAGUAGAAAAAGAGAAAAAAUAGAAAGAGUGUCCUAGGGAUCCAACUGAGAAUCUGGAAAAAGCACAUACCAAAUAAACCUAAAGAAAAGACAAUAAAGACUAAGCAGAAAUUAAUGCUUUCGAAAACAGAAGGCACAACUGGCAAAUCUCUGCACUUUUAAAUUACAUAAAACUCUGGCAAAGCUGAGGAGGGAAAAGUGAAAAAAUUAAAUACGACAAUAGGAAUUAAGAAAGUGAAAAAAAUCAUAAAUACUGAGGGAACUAAAAAGCAAUAACUGUAUACACAUUAUGCUAAUAAAUUUGAAAACAGAUCAUUUUCGUGGAAAGCACAAAGUAAAUGUUUCAUACCAAUAGCUACAGGGAAAAAAUAAAUCAGAAAGCAAAAAAGAACCAUCCCUCAAAAAAGGUACCAGGCUCAGAAGGUUUCAAGAGCAGAUUUUUUUUCAAAUCCUUAAGGAAUUAAAUUAUUCUUUAAACUGUAUCAUUUAAAUACUUCCAGCGCAUAAAGAAUAAACGUUUCAUGAUCCAUUAUAUGAAGUUACUAUUACUCUAAUACCAAUAUCUGAUAAUGAAAACACAAGAGGAUAAUUAUAGGUCAAUCUCAUUCACAA